CGCUCAUUCNAAACCAUGAAAGGUGUUGGUUGCUUAAGACAGCAGGACGGUGGCCAUGGAAGUCGGAAUCCGCUAAGGAGUGUGUAACAACUCACCUGCCGAAGCAACUAGCCCUGAAAAUGGAUGGCGCUGAAGCGUCGUGCCUAUACCCCGCCGCCGGCGGCAGAGGGCGAGUCCCUGGUGGCUCGCCGCGAAGCCCCGGUGAGUAGGAGGGUCGCGGCGGUGAGCGCAGAAGGGUCUGGGCGUGAGCCUGCCUGGAGCCGCCGUCGGUGCAGAUCUUGGUGGUAGUAGCAAAUACUCCAGCGAGGCCCUGGAGGACUGAUGUGNAGAAGGGUUCCGUGUGAACAGCCGUUGCACACGGGUCAGUCGAUCCUAAG
RNAcentral lists this ribosomal RNA (377 nucleotides) under Adenophlebia peringueyella. Its description in RNAcentral is "eukaryotic LSU rRNA". It matches the Rfam family "Eukaryotic large subunit ribosomal RNA", at positions 1198 to 1549 of the family's 3401-position model. Lineage: Eukaryota; Metazoa; Arthropoda; Insecta; Ephemeroptera; Leptophlebiidae. The record is from RNAcentral.